UUCUCGCUUUCUUCGGAAUAAAUUUUGUUAGGCGGCGACGCGGACACCUUUGCUCCGUGGUGAUUGGCUCCCGGCGGGGGCCUCGCGUUUGUCCAAUAUGGCGGCGCCCAGUGGCGGUGUGAACUGUGAGGAGUUCGCCGAGUUCCAGGAAUUACUCAAGGUGAUGAGGACGAUUGAUGACAGAAUAGUACAUGAAUUAAACACUACGGUUCCAACAGCUUCCUUUGCAGGGAAAAUUGAUGCAAGCCAAACCUGUAAACAACUUUAUGAGUCUUUGAUGGAAGCUCAUGCCAGCAGGGACAGAGUCAUAAAAAAUUGUAUAGCUCAGACCUCAGCAGUAGUAAAACACCUCCGAGAAGAGAGAGAAAAGAAUUUGGAUGAUUUAACGUUAUUAAAGCAACUUAGGAAAGAACAGACAAAGUUGAAAUGGAUGCAGUCAGAACUGAAUGUUGAAGAAGUUGUAAAUGACAGGAGCUGGAAGGUGUUUAAUGAACGCUGCCGAAUUCACUUCAAGCCUCCAAAGAAUGAAUAAAAAGAUACUUUUUUAUAAAAGGACCGGGACAUCUCAUAAGAGCUAAGCAUGACAGAUAUCAACAAGCUGUGAAGAAAGCAGAUUGAGAAAGGAGGAAACAAUGCCAGUGCUUUCUGAGGAUAAAGCAGGAUCUCAUUCAUGUGCACCACCUCAGGACCUGGCAUAUACUAGGAGUUCAAAUAUGGUAGGACUGGGAUGAUCCAUUUAUAUAACUCAGUGUUGCAAUUUUCCUAUGCUUAGCUAGUUAGGACUGGUUAAUUUAUUUUUUGGCUCAAAACAUUUUUCAAAAA
RNA transcript from Acinonyx jubatus (cheetah), 822 nucleotides. It is a transcript of the gene named mitochondrial matrix import factor 23, with no coding region annotated. The transcript has 6 exons. The record is from RefSeq and is a predicted model, not a curated record. NCBI's taxonomy places the organism in Eukaryota, Metazoa, Chordata, Mammalia, Carnivora, Felidae.